GUUGGGCGUGACUGCUAUAUUUAGUGAUCGAGUCACCGCAAGUGUGGAAGUCGGGGGGCAGUGACGGAGUUGGUGAGCCGCUCGCUUUGUUGAAAAUCAACCUUGUUUGUCGUCGUGGCAAGAAUGGCAACGAGCUUGCGUCGGUUUGUAGUCUUCGUUUAUUGCCUUUAUUGUUUUUAUGCUAAAGUGGAAGGCCAGAGUUGCUUGAAUGAACGAAAUUGUUCCAGCUGUUUGAAAGCUAGUGCUGAAUGUACCUGGUGUGCAGAUCAGGUGUUGCCUGCAACAGCCAGCCGUUGUAACCUUAACAGCAACUUUUCUAAUAACUGGUGCAAAGAGUUUUAUGGACCAAAACAAGAAAAUAUUACUAUUAAGGUGCAGUGUGCUUAUGUAUACUCAUGAAGUGUUGUUUGUUGAUUUAACUGACAUUACUUUUGUGGCCAAAUAAAAUCUAUCUGUUUGUCAAUGGUAGUAUAU
Corticium candelabrum is the source of this 474-nucleotide long non-coding RNA. RefSeq lists it as uncharacterized. The record is from RefSeq and is a predicted model, not a curated record. NCBI's taxonomy places the organism in Eukaryota, Metazoa, Porifera, Homoscleromorpha, Homosclerophorida, Plakinidae. The transcript has 4 exons.